CGGGGCGUGGCGCAGUCCGGUUAGCGCACCAGCAUGGGGGGCUGGGGGCCGUCGGUUCAAAUCCGACCGCCCCGA
RNAcentral lists this transfer RNA (75 nucleotides) under Candidatus Cloacimonadota bacterium. RNAcentral describes it as "Candidatus Cloacimonetes bacterium tRNA-Pro". It matches the Rfam family "tRNA". From Rfam's summary of the family: Transfer RNA (tRNA) molecules are approximately 80 nucleotides in length. Their secondary structure includes four short double-helical elements and three loops (D, anti-codon, and T loops). The record is from RNAcentral. Lineage: Bacteria; Pseudomonadati; Candidatus Cloacimonadota. RNAcentral also lists the same sequence under 2 other names.